RNAcentral lists this transfer RNA (78 nucleotides) under Cavia porcellus (domestic guinea pig). It matches the Rfam family "tRNA". From Rfam's summary of the family: Transfer RNA (tRNA) molecules are approximately 80 nucleotides in length. Their secondary structure includes four short double-helical elements and three loops (D, anti-codon, and T loops). Further hydrogen bonds mediate the characteristic L-shaped molecular structure. tRNAs have two regions of fundamental functional importance: the anti-codon, which is responsible for specific mRNA codon recognition, and the 3' end, to which the tRNAs corresponding amino acid is attached (by aminoacyl-tRNA synthetases). tRNAs cope with the degeneracy of the genetic code in two manners: having more than one tRNA (with a specific anti-codon) for a particular amino acid; and 'wobble' base-pairing, i.e. permitting non-standard base-pairing at the 3rd anti-codon position. Lineage: Eukaryota; Metazoa; Chordata; Mammalia; Rodentia; Caviidae. The record is from Rfam by way of RNAcentral.
GGAGGAGUGACUCAGUGGUAGAGUGUGCCCCUGACCCUGGCCAGAAUGAGGUCCUGGGUUCGAUUCCUGCCUCCACCA